UUGCACGCUGGCGGCAGGCCUAACACAUGCAAGUCGCGCGGAUGAAGGGAGCUUGCUCCUGGAUUCAGCGGCGGACGGGUGAGUAAUGCCUAGGAAUCUGCCUGGUAGUGGGGGAUAACGUCCGGAAACGGGCGCUAAUACCGCAUACGUCCUGAGGGAGAAAGUGGGGGAUCUUCGGACCUCACGCUAUCAGAUGAGCCUAGGUCGGAUUAGCUAGUUGGUGGGGUAAAGGCCUACCAAGGCGACGAUCCGUAACUGGUCUGAGAGGAUGAUCAGUCACACUGGAACUGAGACACGGUCCAGACUCCUACGGGAGGCAGCGGUGGGGAAUAUUGGACAAUGGGCGAAAGCCUGAUCCAGCCAUGCCGCGUGUGUGAAGAAGGUCUUCGGAUUGUAAAGCACUUUAAGUUGGGAGGAAGGGCAGUAAGUUAAUACCUUGCUGUUUUGACGUUACCAACAGAAUAAGCACCGGCUAACUUCGUG
Molecule: ribosomal RNA, 483 nt
Filed under: uncultured bacterium
Lineage: Bacteria
Description: partial 16S ribosomal RNA
Rfam family: Bacterial small subunit ribosomal RNA
Source: RNAcentral